GACGAACGCUGGCGGCGUGCUUAACACAUGCAAGUCGAACGGAAAGGCCCUGCUUUUGUGGGGUGCUCGAGUGGCGAACGGGUGAGUAACACGUGAGUAACCUGCCCUUGACUUUGGGAUAACUUCAGGAAACUGGGGCUAAUACCGGAUAGGAGCUCCUGCUGCAUGGUGGGGGUUGGAAAGUUUCGGCGGUUGGGGAUGGACUCGCGGCUUAUCAGCUUGUUGGGGGGGUAGUGGCUUACCAAGGCUUUGACGGGUAGCCGGCCUGGGAGGGUGACCGGCCACAUUGGGCCUGCGAUACGGCCCAGACGCCUACGGGAGGCAGCAGUGGGGAAUAUUGCACAAUGGGCCGAAGCCUGAUGCAGCAACGCCGCGUUCGGGAUGACGGCCUUCGGGUUGUAAACCGCUUUCGCCUGUGCCGAAGCGUGAGUGACGGUAAUGGGUAAAGAAGCACCGGCUAACUACGUG
This 468-nucleotide ribosomal RNA is filed under the name uncultured bacterium. Its description in RNAcentral is "partial 16S ribosomal RNA". It matches the Rfam family "Bacterial small subunit ribosomal RNA", at positions 28 to 507 of the family's 1533-position model. The record is from RNAcentral.